UUCGGGCACAGCUGUGGAUCC
Molecule: non-coding RNA, 21 nt
Filed under: Arabidopsis thaliana (thale cress)
Lineage: Eukaryota; Viridiplantae; Streptophyta; Magnoliopsida; Brassicales; Brassicaceae
Source: RNAcentral